AUAUUGCAAAAUGGGCGAAAGCCCGAUGCAGCAACGCCGCGUGGGCGAUGAAGGCCUUCGGGUCGUAAAGCCCUUUUUGAGGGGAUGAGGAAGGUCAGUACCCUCAGAAUAAGCCUCGGCUAACUACGUGCCAGCAGCCGCGGUAAAACGUAGGAGGCGAGCGUUAUCCGGAUUUACUGGGCGUAAAGCGCGUGCAGGCGGAUUGGAGAGUUGGAUGUGAAAGCUACCGGCUUAACUGGGAGAGGUCGUUCAAUACUUCCAGUCUUGAGUGCAGUAGAGGGAAGUGGAAUUCCGGGUGUAGUGGUGAAAUGCGUAGAUAUCCGGAGGAACGCCAGUGGCAAAAGCGGCUUCCUGGACUGUAACUGACGCUCAGACGCGAAAGCUAGGGUAGCAAGC
Molecule: ribosomal RNA, 396 nt
Filed under: uncultured bacterium
Lineage: Bacteria
Description: bacterial SSU rRNA
Rfam family: Bacterial small subunit ribosomal RNA
Source: RNAcentral